AUAAAAAUUGAACGAGUUUAAUAAAACUUCUUUUUAUAAGUAGAACGUAUUUUCGGCUUUAUACAUUUUAUUUUCGGCUGUGUCUGGCUCUGUUAUCGAAUCGCUAUUAUAUACCACUUGAAUACUGCAGCCAAAGCACUGAAUGCUUAAUCAACUCGAGCAAAGAAAUCGAGGCGUUGGGUCUACUUAGGUCGACGUGGCAUCGAAUCCAAGGAAAUAUUACCAUAUUUGACAACUAAGGAAAUCCAGAGGCAUUUCAGUCCCCCGAGCACACCUCAUUUUAAUGGGUUGGCAGAAGCAGCUGUGAAUUCGAUGAAGUUUCAGCUUUCGCGAAUCAUUGGAGACGUCAAACUUACAUUUGCAGAGUUCUCAACGGUGCUCACAAGAAUUGAGGCUGUAUUGAAUUCGCGUCCAAUCUCACCAAUAAGUGAUAAUCCAAAUGAUUUUACCGCUUUAACUCCGGGGCACUUUUUGACAGGGGACACGCUGCUUUCGCGGCCACAGCCACCCGCUAUCCAGAACCCGGUAAAGAGACAUCAACUAAUGGAGCGUAUGGUGCAAUAUUUUUGGAAUCGAUUUCGUCAAGAAAUUCUAUCAGCCAUGCAGAUUCGAAAGAAGUGGACCGAUAAACAACCUAAUCUCAAAAUGAACGAUUUGGCGAUUAUAAAGGACGAUCACUUUCCAGUCAAUCAUUAGCCUUUAGGUCGAAUUGUGGAGCAUUCUAAACAUUCAAUUUGACUUAUUUAUAAUAAGCCAUAGUCUAGUUCAAAAUUUAAGUAAUAACAAACAAAUUUGUCAACGGUGGGAGUAUGUUGAAGUUCCACUCCCGGACGAUAGAGGUCGCUGCUAAAUAGAAAUUAGAAACAUGUAAUAGAUGUAUAUGUAUUGUAAAAUAUGACUUUAAUUUGCAUUGUGAACAGAGCACCUUUUUGGCAGCUGAGUAUUAAUAAAUUGACAGUCGCCCCUUCGUAGAGCGACCACCGGAUAGACAACACGUGUUCUUUUUCUAAUUUAACAUUGGUCUCGUAGUGAUUUUAACCUCCCAGAAUCAGAUUCACCCGACGCCAAUAGCAUCCGAAUUGAAGCCCAAAUUUGCUCAUUUUCUCCUCAUUUCUCCUUAUUAAAAAAAACAUCGUCUAAAAUGCUUCGUAAUGACUGACAUCGUCAACAAAAAAAAAAAAUUGCCAAAAAUCAACGGUAAGUCCCAGUUAAUUUAAACUUGCAGUAAAAAAGAGAUCGAAAUUUUUAUGAAAAUUACCGACAAAUCCAGCAGCGUCUGUUCCCGAGUGGGGCGGCUUCUUGAUCUGCAUCUGACCCAUAUUGACCUGGCAGUAGGUAUAAAAUGCAUCACUGCGGGGCAGCAUCGGAGGAUCUGAUGCUCUUCCUGGGUGAGGAAGAUGUACACGUGGCCCUAAUUCAAGAACCCUGGCUAGUGGGGGGGAGGGUCACAGGUCUAUCCACCAGCGGUCUCUUGCUUCUCACCCCACAGACUGGAGCGAUGCGGUCGUGACAGUGGCAAUGUCGGAGCAGAGGGGAGCACCCAACAUCAUCCUCACAUCUUCCUACAUGCCAUAUGAUGUACCCGAUCCCCCGACGGUAUCCUUCAGAAAACUCACCGUUUGGGCAGAGCAACGAAGGAUAAGUAUGUUGGCUGGCUGUGACGCUAAUGCACACCACACGGCCUGGAACAGAUCCCGUAGGCAGGGCAGUCCAGUUGAUCAAAUCUUCACUGAACAGAAAGUACCUUGGGCUAUCAGAUCCUUCCAACCCUUCAAAUCUUCGGGUCCGGAUGGAAUCUUUCCAGCCAUGCUACAACGAACAAAUGCCAUGGUAACUGCCUCGCUAACGACCAUUUUUAGGGCAAGCUUCCGCCUUAGCUAUAUUACAAAGCCAUGGAGGGAGGUAAGAGUGAUCUUCAUUCCCAAAGCAGGAAAGACAGGCCACAGUACCGCCAAAGACUUUAGACCUAUCAGCCUCUCAUCAUUUCUCCUCAAAAUAAUGGAGCCUUCUAAGUCUGCAGAUCUCGCGAUGUCUUACUCCUGAGAACUUCAGCGAGGCGCAACAUGCCUACCGAAAAGGCAGAUCGGUUGAAAAAGCCCUGCACAAGGUUGUCGGAAGUAUAGAGAAGGCAUUAAUACACAAAGAAUACGCACUGGCAGCCUUUCUGGACGUGGAAGGCGCCUUUAACAAUGUUAAUUUGGCAUCCAUACACUGCUCCAUGGCGGCCGUAGGACUGGACCCACUGACCACUCUCUGGAUCGAUAAUAUGUUGAGCACCAGAAGCAUCAAUGGCUCCCUGGGAACAGCAGAAGUAAGGAAAACGGCCACACGUGCCACCCCUCAAGGGGCGGGUGUUAUCUCCCCUUGCUGUGGAACCUCGUGCUUAACGAAUUCCUGCUCCGCGCAUCGAAAGCCGUCAAGGUCGUUGCCUAUGCGGAUGACUUAGUCAUUUUGGUCGUGAGGAAAUUCCUCUGCACGGUAACCGAGAUUCUACAAUCCGCAAUUAAAGAUCUUGCGGGGUGGGCAGGAAGAAACGGUUUAGGGGUUAACCCGUCCAAAACCGAACUUGUUCCGUUCACCAAGUAGAAAAUUUUGAAACUCCGUCCCUCAAUGGAGCAAGCCUUGAAUCGUCAAAAGAAGCGAGGUUUUUGGGGGUUAUUCUCGACUCUAAGCUUUCCUGGAAAAGAAAUACCGAAGAGCGGAGAAAAAAGGCGCUCAUUGCGCUCUACUCCGGCAAGGCUACGAUUGGGAAAGACUGGGGGCUGCGGCCGCAGAAAUUACACUGGAUGUAUACGGCGGUGUUAGACCCACUCUCACCUAUUGUGCGCGGGUAUGGUGGCAGGCGGUGGACACCAAAACCCAUCUGCUUAAUCUUCCAAAGGUGCAACGACAGGCUUGCUUAUGCAUAAAUGGGGCUACUUACUCAACGCCCCAGGCGGCGCUAGAGACACUCCUGGACAUUCCACCCAUAGACCUGUACGUUAAAAGUACCGCAGCUAAAAGCGCUUUACGACUCAGGGCGUCUAACAGGCUGUGAACAACUUGCACGGGUCACGCCACAAUCCUCGAGAGAGUAUGGGUGGAGUACAUUAGCUGUGACUAUCACGGAAACCGAUUUCAAUCGGAAUUUUGAUGUCUAUUUUCCAAACAGAAGUGACUGGGAACUUAGUAUUGCUCUUAGCGAUGAUGAAAUACCCAUUUUCAUGGACGGCUCCAAAAUGGA
Long non-coding RNA from Rhagoletis pomonella (apple maggot), 3223 nucleotides. RefSeq lists it as uncharacterized. Lineage: Eukaryota; Metazoa; Arthropoda; Insecta; Diptera; Tephritidae. The transcript is spliced from 3 exons. The record is from RefSeq and is a predicted model, not a curated record.